GGUAUCAGAGCCACGUCUCUUUAUUAAGGGUUUCACCACCCGAAGAGUAUGGAAGGCGAAGAGGGAAUUAACAAUGGGCAACCCGAGGCCAUGGACUUGACUUCGGUCACAAGGGACGACUUGAACACGGCUAUGGUCGCCCUCAAGACAUCCUUGACGAAUGAAGUCAAGACCAUGCUUAAAGAGUUAAUUGAGGGAUUUAAAAGUCCACCCGAACCGGCGUUAGUGGUUAAA
This 234-nucleotide long non-coding RNA is filed under the name Hordeum vulgare. RNAcentral's name for it is "long non-coding RNA (HVUL_LNC009504)". The record is from RNAcentral. Lineage: Eukaryota; Viridiplantae; Streptophyta; Magnoliopsida; Poales; Poaceae.